UUGUAAGAGUUUUAAGAUUCCAUCAUCUUGGAUAAUAUCUUAUAAAUGUCUAUAUAAUGUUUUAUAGGGCGGAGUCACCAUUUAUGGCCACCUUAUGAAUUUUCUUACACACUCAUCUCAGUUAUUUUGUCCACAAUUCUCGAAAUCAAUUGAAAAUGCAACAGUGUAUACUCUACAUGUGACUCAAUAUUUCAUAUCUAUGAGAAAUACUGUAUGACAUAAUAAUUUUUUUUUUUUUAAAUUCCAUUUUCACCUUCUAUGGUCAUUUUAUGCUAUAUGUUAGUAAUAAAUGAUACUACCCAGUAAAUAAAUUAAUGUAGAUGAAUACAACAAUAACCAUAUGAAAUUUUAAAUUACAAAAUUAUAAUAUUAACAAAUAAAAUACAAAUAAGUGGUCAUUGGUGAUGACUCAACCUACUAUGAAAAGUUGUAUGUAUUGAAAAAUCACUUAAAUAUUAUUUGUUUAACUAUACAAAUGUAUAGCAGUUUUGAUAAGACAUAUUAAAUUUCAUAAAAUUUUAAGUUCCCUAGUUUUGUCAUUGGGACUAAAGUACCAAAAAAAAAAAAAAAAAAAUAUACUGAAUUAUAGAUUAAUAAAUAUGAAUAUGAACUUUCAGUGAAGAAAUCCAAAUUUUACACAAACAUAAAUAAAUUAAAUUAUAGUUAUUACCUG
Molecule: non-coding RNA, 673 nt
Organism: Cinara cedri
Lineage: Eukaryota; Metazoa; Arthropoda; Insecta; Hemiptera; Aphididae
Source: the annotation of a GenBank genome assembly